This 1345-nucleotide long non-coding RNA is filed under the name Ananas comosus (pineapple). Its description in RNAcentral is "long non-coding RNA (ACOM_LNC001309)". The record is from RNAcentral. Lineage: Eukaryota; Viridiplantae; Streptophyta; Magnoliopsida; Poales; Bromeliaceae.
UUUAAAUAUAGUAUAUUUUACUCAUAAUUUAAAAAAAUAAAAACUAAAGAUCUUUAAAAAUGUGUAAUUACUAAAUUAAAGUUUAAAAUUAUUUUAACUAUUCAUAACUUUUGUUUGGAGAAAGAAAGAAAAGAGAGCAUUAAAUUAAAAAUUAAAUUGAGAGAGAGGGAGAAAAGCAGCAUGUACAUUUCUUUGCGAGAGAGAAAAGAGAAGAAAAAAAUAUAAAUAUUAAAUCAAAUAAAAAUUAAGUACGAGAGAGUGCACACUCUGUAAAAGAGAUAAAGUAUAUAUAUGAGGAAAACACUGUAUCACAUUAAAAAAUUAUAUCCUUAAUAGACCCAAUCAAAAUAGAACAAAUUCAUCUCCAUUGCCAAUUCAUGAUGUAUUAGAUUCGGUUUACAAUAUUAUGCAUGAUACUUCUAAAAGUCAAUUAUAAACAAUUUAAAAAUUAAGAUUUAAUUUAUUGAUUAUAUAUAGUAAUAUAUAGAUAUUUUUUUUUGGAAAAAACUUCAAAUACUACUUUUUUAUUUUAGUAGUCUAUGGUUUAAAGUAUAUCAAUUUAGUAUCCGUGGUUUUAUUUUUCUCUUUUUAUUACCUACUUCACUAAUUUUUUUCAUUAAAUCAGUGACAAAGUCAAAACUAAAAUGUAUUAAAGUGAACAUUCGAUAAACUUAGGUGGGGUAUCUGAAAUUUUUUAUAUAUAAUUUAAUAAAAUUUUAACGGAGGAGCUAACGAAAAGAGAAAAAUAAAAUCAUAGGGUAUUAAAUUGAUACAUUUUAAACCACAUGAUACUAAAAUAAGAAAGUGCGAAACCACAGGAGUCAUAUUUAAAGUUUAUCCUUUUUUUGAGAGAAAGUAGCAUGAUUUUACUUUUUUAGAAAUAAAUUUGUGUAUACUAAAAAUAAAUUUGUUAAAAAAAAAUUUAAAAAAAAGUUAUAUUACUUGGCUUGAAAAUGAAUUUUAUUUGAACUAAAGUUCAGAUAAAAAUUUUGAUUUUGCCGUUGUUGGCUCGAUAGAAAUUCGAUAGGUUUGAAACUGUAAUUAUCUUACAAUUUAUUUUACUACAAAUUUUGACACUAAUACAUAAGCCGAUGAAAAAAAUUACAGCAGUUAAUUUUUUUUUUUUAUUUCCUUUCUCCUUUUCUUCGGCACUACUCAGAGCAAAAUCAAUUAUAACGUUUUAGAAAAGCACGGAUAUGAGCGAAUAUAAUUUACUGCAAACCAAAUAACGAUAACGGACAUUAACGACCGAAAACAAUUUUAAACUCCCUCCACUUUCGAUGAAAUAAACAUGUUUCUGAAUUUAUCAAAUAGUUCAAUAGGCGCUCUUUCAAGGGGUUUUUUU